GGAACAAGUCCAGCACGACACCAGCAACACUCCUGAAGAUCGUAUUGAAUAUGCCUCCGUGAAUUGGCCGGGAAGCUCUGGGCAUCCACCGCGUCAGGGAGAAGAGACGCCAACAUACACAGCGAUCACUCUGCAGCGGGACAGAUGUCAUUAAUGCUCCAUUGCUGAAAUGCAGUGCUCAUCACAGCCCAGCCACAUCAAAGACCCUCCUGAAAUCAGAAGCAACUGUAGCAGCUGUGCAGUAAGAAAGUGAGAGACCUUCUCUGGGGCCACAGCUAGACCAUGCACAGUGACCUGAAGUGCUGUAGGACACUAGAAUAUUCUUAGGGCAAAUGCUACUUGUUUUUCUUUUGGAAAAAAGUUUCUUCUGAAUAAAAUUGGGGGAAAAAACCCAAACUCCAUAUUCCUACCCCCUGACUCUUAAUAUGGACAACUCACUCCGAAGUCCUCUCAGCUCUGUUUAGAGAUUCCAUUGCCAACCCAAAGUGUACAAAAAUCAUGAGGCAGCUCCCCCAAAAU
Trachemys scripta elegans is the source of this 519-nucleotide long non-coding RNA. RefSeq lists it as uncharacterized. NCBI's taxonomy places the organism in Eukaryota, Metazoa, Chordata, Testudines, Emydidae. The record is from RefSeq and is a predicted model, not a curated record. The transcript has 3 exons.